RNAcentral lists this ribosomal RNA (683 nucleotides) under uncultured organism. RNAcentral describes it as "bacterial SSU rRNA". It matches the Rfam family "Bacterial small subunit ribosomal RNA", at positions 69 to 733 of the family's 1533-position model. The record is from RNAcentral.
UUUCGGACGAGAAGGUUGACUGGAAAGUGGCGAAAGGGUGAGNNUACGCGUGGGUAUCUGCGGCCGAGGCGGGGAUAGCUCCGCGAAAGUGGAGUUAAACCGGAUGUGGUCCCCCGAUGCAUAUCGGGGUGUCCAAAGGUGGGGACCUUCGGGCCUACCGCUUGGGGAUGAACCCGCGUCCCAUCAGCUUGUUGGUAGGGUAACGGCCUACCAAGGCUUACGGGUAGCUGGUCUGAGAGGAUGGUCAGCCAGGGUGGGACUGAGACACUGCCCAGACUCCUACGGGAGGCUGCAGUCGAGAAUCAUUCGCAAUGCGCGAAAGCGUGACGAUGCGACGCCGCGUGCAGGAUGAAGGCCUUCGGGUUGUAAACUGCUGUCAUGGGGGAGUAACGACUGCGGUGCGAAUAGCACCGUGGAGUGAUAGUACCCCAAGAGGAAGCCACGGCUAACUCUGUGCCAGCAGCCGCGGUAAUACAGAGGUGGCGAGCGUUGUUCGGAUUUACUGGGCGUAAAGGGUGUGUAGGCGGACUCGCAUGUCAGAUGUGAAAUCUCACCGUCCAUCGGUGAACGUGCAUUUGAAACUGCGGGGCUAGAGUACGGUAGAGGAGAGCGGAAUUCUCGGUGUAGCGGUGAAAUGCGUAGAUAUCGAGAAGAACGCCGGGCGGCGAAAGCGGCUCUCUGGA